GGGCCUGUGGCGGAACUGGCAGACGCAGCGGACUUAAAAUCCGCCGUCCUCACGGACAUUGAGGGUUCGAGUCCCUCCGGGCCCA
Molecule: transfer RNA, 85 nt
Filed under: Phycisphaerales bacterium
Lineage: Bacteria; Pseudomonadati; Planctomycetota; Phycisphaerae; Phycisphaerales
Description: tRNA-Leu
Rfam family: tRNA
About the family: Transfer RNA (tRNA) molecules are approximately 80 nucleotides in length. Their secondary structure includes four short double-helical elements and three loops (D, anti-codon, and T loops).
Source: RNAcentral